UUAAGUUAUUAAGGGCGCACGGUGGAUGCCUUGGCACUAGAAGCCGAUGAAGGACGUUACUAACGACGAUAUGCUUUGGGGAGCUGUAAGUAAGCUUUGAUCCAGAGAUUUCCGAAUGGGGAAACCCAGCAUGAGUUAUGUCAUGUUAUCGAUAUGUGAAUACAUAGCAUAUCAGAAGGCACACCCGGAGAACUGAAACAUCUUAGUACCCGGAGGAAGAGAAAGAAAAUUCGAUUCCCUUAGUAGCGGCGAGCGAAACGGGAAGAGCCCAAACCAACAAGCUUGCUUGUUGGGGUUGUAGGACACUCUGUACGGAGUUACAAAGGACGACAUUAGACGAAUCAUCUGGAAAGAUGAAUCAAAGAAGGUAAUAAUCCUGUAGUCGAAAAUGUUGUCUCUCUUGAGUGGAUCCUGAGUACGACGGAGCACGUGAAAUUCCGUCGGAAUCUGGGAGGACCAUCUCCUAAGGCUAAAUACUCUCUAGUGACCGAUAGUGAACCAGUACCGUGAGGGAAAGGUGAAAAGCACCCCGGAAGGGGAGUGAAAUAGAACCUGAAACCGUGUGCUUACAAGUAGUCAGAGCCCGUUAAUGGGUGAUGGCGUGCCUUUUGUAGAAUGAACCGGCGAGUUACGAUUUGAUGCAAGGUUAAGCAGUAAAUGUGGAGCCGUAGCGAAAGCGAGUCUGAAUAGGGCGUUUAGUAUUUGGUCGUAGACCCGAAACCAGGUGAUCUACCCUUGGUCAGGUUGAAGUUCAGGUAACACUGAAUGGAGGACCGAACCGACUUACGUUGAAAAGUGAGCGGAUGAACUGAGGGUAGCGGAGAAAUUCCAAUCGAACCUGGAGAUAGCUGGUUCUCUCCGAAAUAGCUUUAGGGCUAGCCUCAAGUGAUGAUUAUUGGAGGUAGAGCACUGUUUGGACGAGGGGCCCCUCUCGGGUUACCGAAUUCAGACAAACUCCGAAUGCCAAUUAAUUUAACUUGGGAGUCAGAACAUGGGUGAUAAGGUCCGUGUUCGAAAGGGAAACAGCCCAGACCACCAGCUAAGGUCCCAAAAUAUAUGUUAAGUGGAAAAGGAUGUGGCGUUGCCCAGACAACUAGGAUGUUGGCUUAGAAGCAGCCAUCAUUUAAAGAGUGCGUAAUAGCUCACUAGUCGAGUGACACUGCGCCGAAAAUGUACCGGGGCUAAACAUAUUACCGAAGCUGUGGAUUGUCCUUUGGACAAUGGUAGGAGAGCGUUCUAAGGGCGUUGAAGCAUGAUCGUAAGGACAUGUGGAGCGCUUAGAAGUGAGAAUGCCGGUGUGAGUAGCGAAAGACGGGUGAGAAUCCCGUCCACCGAUUGACUAAGGUUUCCAGAGGAAGGCUCGUCCGCUCUGGGUUAGUCGGGUCCUAAGCUGAGGCCGACAGGCGUAGGCGAUGGAUAACAGGUUGAUAUUCCUGUACCACCUAUAAUCGUUUUAAUCGAUGGGGGGACGCAGUAGGAUAGGCGAAGCGUGCGAUUGGAUUGCACGUCUAAGCAGUAAGGCUGAGUAUUAGGCAAAUCCGGUACUCGUUAAGGCUGAGCUGUGAUGGGGAGAAGACAUUGNNNNNNNNNNNNNNNNNNNNNNNNNNNNNNNNNNNNNNNNNNNNNNNNNNNNNNNNNNNNNNNNNNNNNNNNNNNNNNNNNNNNNNNNNNNNNNNNNNNNNNNNNNNNNNNNNNNNNNGUCUUCGAGUCGUUGAUUUCACACUGCCGAGAAAAGCCUCUAGAUAGAAAAUAGGUGCCCGUACCGCAAACCGACACAGGUAGUCAAGAUGAGAAUUCUAAGGUGAGCGAGCGAACUCUCGUUAAGGAACUCGGCAAAAUGACCCCGUAACUUCGGGAGAAGGGGUGCUCUUUAGGGUUAACGCCCAGAAGAGCCGCAGUGAAUAGGCCCAAGCGACUGUUUAUCAAAAACACAGGUCUCUGCUAAACCGUAAGGUGAUGUAUAGGGGCUGACGCCUGCCCGGUGCUGGAAGGUUAAGAGGAGUGGUUAGCUUCUGCGAAGCUACGAAUCGAAGCCCCAGUAAACGGCGGCCGUAACUAUAACGGUCCUAAGGUAGCGAAAUUCCUUGUCGGGUAAGUUCCGACCCGCACGAAAGGCGUAACGAUUUGGGCACUGUCUCAACGAGAGACUCGGUGAAAUCAUAGUACCUGUGAAGAUGCAGGUUACCCGCGACAGGACGGAAAGACCCCGUGGAGCUUUACUGUAGCCUGAUAUUGAAAUUCGGCACAGCUUGUACAGGAUAGGUAGGAGCCUUUGAAACGUGAGCGCUAGCUUACGUGGAGGCGCUGGUGGGAUACUACCCUAGCUGUGUUGGCUUUCUAACCCGCACCACUUAUCGUGGUGGGAGACAGUGUCAGGCGGGCAGUUUGACUGGGGCGGUCGCCUCCUAAAAGGUAACGGAGGCGCUCAAAGGUUCCCUCAGAAUGGUUGGAAAUCAUUCAUAGAGUGUAAAGGCAUAAGGGAGCUUGACUGCGAGACCUACAAGUCGAGCAGGGUCGAAAGACGGACUUAGUGAUCCGGUGGUUCCGCAUGGAAGGGCCAUCGCUCAACGGAUAAAAGCUACCCCGGGGAUAACAGGCUUAUCUCCCCCAAGAGUUCACAUCGACGGGGAGGUUUGGCACCUCGAUGUCGGCUCAUCGCAUCCUGGGGCUGUAGUCGGUCCCAAGGGUUGGGCUGUUCGCCCAUUAAAGCGGUACGCGAGCUGGGUUCAGAACGUCGUGAGACAGUUCGGUCCCUAUCCGUCGUGGGCGUAGGAAAUUUGAGAGGAGCUGUCCUUAGUACGAGAGGACCGGGAUGGACAUACCUCUGGUGUACCAGUUGUCGUGCCAACGGCAUAGCUGGGUAGCUAUGUGUGGACGGGAUAAGUGCUGAAAGCAUCUAAGCAUGAAGCCCCCCUCAAGAUGAGAUUUCCCAACUUCGGUUAUAAGAUCCCUCAAAGAUGAUGAGGUUAAUAGGUUCGAGGUGGAAGCAUGGUGACAUGUGGAGCUGACGAAUACUAAUCGAUCGAAGACUUAAUCAA
RNAcentral lists this ribosomal RNA (3038 nucleotides) under Staphylococcus aureus. Its description in RNAcentral is "23S ribosomal RNA". It matches the Rfam family "Bacterial large subunit ribosomal RNA". Lineage: Bacteria; Bacillati; Bacillota; Bacilli; Caryophanales; Staphylococcaceae. The record is from RNAcentral.